RNAcentral lists this microRNA precursor (198 nucleotides) under Oryza glumipatula. RNAcentral describes it as "MIR812 microRNA precursor family". It matches the Rfam family "MIR812 microRNA precursor family". Lineage: Eukaryota; Viridiplantae; Streptophyta; Magnoliopsida; Poales; Poaceae. The record is from Rfam by way of RNAcentral.
AAAAAGUUCAGUUUUUAGUUUUUAUAUAACGUUUGGCUCUUCGUUUUAUUUAAAAAAAUUUAUGAUUAAUAUUUUUAUUAUUAUUAGAUGAUAAAAUAUGAAUAGUAAUUUAUGUGUGACUAUUUUUUUAACUUUUAUAUUUUUUAAAUAAGACAGAUGGUCAAACGCUGGACACAUAAAUCUAAAAAUGAAUUUAUU